GACGAACGCUGGCGGCGUGCUUAACACAUGCAAGUCGAACGGAAAGGCCCUGCUUUUGUGGGGUGCUCGAGUGGCGAACGGGUGAGUAACACGUGAGUAACCUGCCCUUGACUUUGGGAUAACUUCAGGAAACUGGGGCUAAUACCGGAUAGGAGCUCCUGCUGCAUGGUGGGGGUUGGAAAGUUUCGGCGGUUGGGGAUGGACUCGCGGCUUAUCAGCUUGUUGGUGGGGUAGUGGCUUACCAAGGCUUUGACGGGUAGCCGGCCUGAGAGGGUGACCGGCCACAUUGGGACUGAGAUACGGCCCAGACUCCCACGGGAGGCAGCAGUGGGGAAUAUUGCACAAUGGGCGGAAGCCUGAUGCAGCAACGCCGCGUGCGGGAUGACGGCCUUCGGGUUGUAAACCGCUUUCGCCUGUGACGAAGCGUGAGUGGCGGUAAUGGGUAAAGAAGCACCGGCUAACUACGUG
RNAcentral lists this ribosomal RNA (468 nucleotides) under uncultured bacterium. RNAcentral describes it as "partial 16S ribosomal RNA". It matches the Rfam family "Bacterial small subunit ribosomal RNA", at positions 28 to 507 of the family's 1533-position model. The record is from RNAcentral.